This is an RNA transcript of Ipomoea triloba (trilobed morning glory), 1909 nucleotides long. It is a transcript of the gene named EID1-like F-box protein 2, with no coding region annotated. The transcript is spliced from 5 exons. The record is from RefSeq and is a predicted model, not a curated record. Lineage: Eukaryota; Viridiplantae; Streptophyta; Magnoliopsida; Solanales; Convolvulaceae.
UAAGAUAUUUAGAUAUGGAAUGGCAGAGCAGAUUGUGUCUGUCUUUACUCAUAUCCUGCCGAUCUACUGCCGACUGUGCGUGGCCAUACUUGAUCAGCAUUUUAGCGGACGAUAAAACCCCUCAAGAAUUCAGUAAUUUCCCUUCCUAGUUCCUACCUCGCUCGCUCGACCGUUUAGGAAGCUGUAAGUAUCUGUAUGAUCAGCUGUACUACUGUAUCCAGACUUGAUUUUCUUCCCAAUUUCUUUUUCUACUCAAAUAUGGUGUGCAUUUAGGGCUUUGUGAGGUGCUUCUCGGUUUUCUGUGAUCAUUUAAUUGUCCCUCAAAUCACGCGAAGGAGAAAAAUUGAGAUUUUUAUCAUAUAAGUGGACUUACAUUUUCAGCUCCAAUUGAGUUUGACAAAGGCUACUCAGUAAAUUGAGGUCAAGAUUUGGCAUUUGGGUGUACCCCGGAUAUAUAGGGUGAGAACAAUGCCAAUGGCCAAGCACUUCCGAUGUCUACACUCGACAAAUUGUGUUUGCAUAAAAGGGCAUAUGAGUGAAGAAGUGAUAUUUUUACUUUUCCAGCAUUUGAACUGGAACCCUAAGAUGAUUGCAGCUCUGUCGUGUGUAUGCAAAUGGUUUGAUGAUCUAGCCAAGAGGGUGCUUUGGAAGGAGUUCUGUAAGGAAAGAGCACCCAAGAUGAUGCUUGAUCUGCAGUCUAGUAGGAGUCACAGUGUUGAUGGGAACUGGAGCGCCCUUGGAAAGCUUCUGAUUUACUGCUCCGGCUGUACCAAGGGCGGCUUGUUCAAUAGCAUUAAUAUUCCUGGACAUGUUGUUCACAAAACCCGUUUCUCAAGGACAUCUGGGAAGAGCUUUCUUUUACCGCAAUGCAGGAUGGAUGUUUUGUAUGUAUCUGACCCUUGCGAGCAUCUUGACCAAGGAGAAGAGGGGGAUGUUGGUUUUUUCCGUGGACUGUUUAAAUCGUUUGCAACAUCAAAAGUUCGGAAAAUGCUGAUUCAGAGAGAGGCACAGCUACACCCAAAGGAGGUAUGUCCUUACUGUAAGGCUAAGUUGUGGAGCAUGCUGCAGGCAAAGAUGAUACCAUCAAGUGCCAGCUGUAGGUUGGACGCUUAUGAAGAUGCAGUUGAGUAUUAUGUGUGCCUUAACGGGCAUGUGCUUGGGAUGUGCACCCUCUUAUCUUUUUCUGAUACAGAGGAAGCAUUCGAAUCCGGGUGUGACACUUGAGAGUGCAGGUAAGAAAUCAAAGAGGAGAACCUACUUUUCGGAGAUAGGAAUUGGUAUAUAUGAAUAGGACCUCCACCCAACAAUUCCCCUAGCUGCCAAUUGCUAGACUUGGCCUUUUAUUGGCCUCCGCCUAACAAUUUGCUAUACUCUUCUGUUUCAAGACCAGUAACACAUUAGGAGAUUCUGGCAUUCUGCAGCAUGAACCAACUCCUCUGUAGCAGCUGAAAUUUUAUGCUUCAACCAAACCCAUCCAUUAUUAAAAUGGACAGGUUUUUAAAAUAUUGUUUACUAUUAUUUAUCAGAUCUUGAAAUUUUGGAAGAAUGGAUCUACCAUCUCUUUGGAACAUGGUGGAUAUCACGGAGGCUUUAAACUUUAAAGAGGGACAUACCAGACAAGGCUGUUUAGUUAACAAUCUCGGGGUUGCAGAUGCAUUUAUCCAUCCUAGUUUGCUUAGUUAACAAUCUUGGGGUUGCAGAUGCAUAUAUCCAUCCUAGUUUGCUGUUUCCAGGUCCCAUUUACUCACCAUUUUAUCCAGUUGUUAGCUUACAACAUUGCUCAUAUGAACCAUGUUUGUAAAUUCUUAGACAUCAGUGAAAUUUGUAACAUCUUAGGCACUUGCUUAUUGUGAAUCAUUUGGAUUAUGUUAUGUAUUUUGGACACAUUUAAGUUCCAUUUUUUUUUCUU